This 253-nucleotide ribosomal RNA is filed under the name uncultured bacterium. Its description in RNAcentral is "partial 16S ribosomal RNA". It matches the Rfam family "Bacterial small subunit ribosomal RNA", at positions 524 to 776 of the family's 1533-position model. The record is from RNAcentral.
UACGGAGGGUGCAAGCGUUAUCCGGAUUCACUGGGUUUAAAGGGUGCGUAGGUGGGUUGGUAAGUCAGUGGUGAAAUCUCCGUGCUUAACAUGGAAACUGCCAUUGAUACUACUGAUCUUGAAUUUUCUGGAGGUAAGCGGAAUAUGUCAUGUAGCGGUGAAAUGCUUAGAUAUGACAUAGAACACCAAUUGCGAAGGCAGCUGGCUACACGAAUAUUGACACUCAGGCACGAAAGCGUGGGGAUCAAACAGG